RNAcentral lists this long non-coding RNA (711 nucleotides) under Zostera marina. RNAcentral's name for it is "long non-coding RNA (ZMAR_LNC006039)". The record is from RNAcentral. Lineage: Eukaryota; Viridiplantae; Streptophyta; Magnoliopsida; Alismatales; Zosteraceae.
AUAAGCUGAUAAAGCAACAUAUUUCUUUAACCUUCCUUUUAAUGCUUCUUUUCUUUCCAUGGUCCAAUUGGAAGCUUACACAAAACCUUGGCAUCUAAAACAGCGUACUGCUUCUUCAUCUCGAUCAUUGCCUUCUCGGCAAAUGCAUCAACUUUGUCGUCAUACUUCUCAUAGAGCAAAGGAACAGUGUGCAACAACACAAAGACUGAAAAUUUAAACAUCAUUAACAAUAGAUUCAAAUUUUGAACGCAAAAUGCUAUACAAGGUUAAGGCUUAAGAACCCAACUUACUUAUGUAAAACAAGGUUAAGAAGUUGCAGCUACUUCCAAUGGCAGACAAAAUCCAUAGUCCAGCAAUCACCUGGAAAGAAUAUACAGUAUUUUUUGCAUUACAAUCUAUUGAUAUAAAAUUUAAACACUAAAUUAUUUAUCAUUGACAUACACCAAGAAAUUUUUUAAGAUCUUUCCCAGAUGCAAUUUCUCUCAAGACAUGAAGAGCACGAUUGAUAUCAUUCCUCAGACAAAGAGCAGUGUUGACAACUACAUCUUCAGGGAUAUGAACAUCAGGUAUGUGUGGUGUUGAUGACCUAAUUGGAAAUACAAUCCAGAUAAAUUAAUAAAAUAGACAAUCCAUGCAAAACAUAUGAGAUCAUGAGAAUAAAAAGCAAAAACAAGAUCAGGAAAUGAAUUGAUAAGAGAAGAAACCAUUACU